AUGCUUGCUUUGGCAGCACAUAUACUGAAAAAUUGGAACUAUACAGAGAAUAUUAGCAUGGCCCCUGCACAAGGAUGACACACACAUUUGUGAAGCAUUCCAUAUUUUA
This is a small nuclear RNA of Hyaena hyaena (striped hyena), 109 nucleotides long. NCBI's taxonomy places the organism in Eukaryota, Metazoa, Chordata, Mammalia, Carnivora, Hyaenidae. The record is from RefSeq and is a predicted model, not a curated record.